Molecule: ribosomal RNA, 468 nt
Filed under: uncultured bacterium
Lineage: Bacteria
Description: partial 16S ribosomal RNA
Rfam family: Bacterial small subunit ribosomal RNA
Source: RNAcentral
GACGAACGCUGGCGGCGUGCCUAACACAUGCCAGUCGAACGGACAGGCCCUGCUUUUGUGCGGUGCUCGAGUGGCCAACGGGUGAGUAACACGUGAGUACCCUGUACUUGACUUUGGGAUAACUUCAGGCAACUGGGGCUCUUACCGGAUAGGAGCUACUGCCGCAUGGUGGGGGUUGGACAGUUUCGGCGGUUGGGGAUGGACUCGCGGCUUCUCAGCUUGUAGGUGGGGUUGGGGCUUACCAAGGCUUUGACGGGUAGCCGGCCUGACAGGGUGACCGGCCACAUUGGGACUGAGAUACGGCCCAGACUCCUACGGGAGGCAGCAGUGGGGAAUAUUGCACAAUGGGCGGAAGCCUGAUGCAGCAACGCCGCGUGCGGGAUGACGGCCUUCGGGUUGUAAACCGCUUUCGCCUGUGACGAAGCGUGAGUGACGGUAAUGGGUAAAGAAGCACCGGCUAACUACGUG